Gasterosteus aculeatus aculeatus (three-spined stickleback) is the source of this 835-nucleotide long non-coding RNA. Lineage: Eukaryota; Metazoa; Chordata; Actinopteri; Perciformes; Gasterosteidae. The record is from Ensembl.
GGGGAAUUGAUGACCAAGAGAGUAAUUUUAAAAUAUUGAUGAAUGAAGGAAAACAUUUCUUUCUUUGCCUUUUCUCCCCCAGGGCAAAAGGGCAGGUGCUUGAGCACCACUAGGGGUCCAUCAUGAACACGUGCAUUUAGGAGACAUCUCCACAUGGUCCUCAACAGAGCUCAGGAUCUCAGCCUGCUGAACUAAGCCACCUGCUGCUACAAAGUGGUACCUACACGGACCAAGAGAUGAUACCAGUUGUCAUAUCCUCUAUGCGAAUGGUGGCGCAUGGAGUAGAGAGUGUGCGCUUAACCCUCGCUGCCGGGAACCGCCGGGUGGCGGUUUGAGCCCUGGAUUCUCCAUGUCCCAUGUUGAAGUGUCCCUGAGCAAGACCCCCUAAUUGCACCCUGGGGAAAAAUGUAUUUUGGAUUUGAAGCUUUGGAUGCUGUAACUCAUUUUUAAGCGGUUGGUCCAUCCAUCCAUCUAUCCUGCACACAGGGUCGCGGGGGGGCUGGAGUCCAUCCCAGCCAACUUCGGGCAAGAGACAGGUUUCACCCUGGACUGGUCGCCAGCCAAUCACAGGUCUACACAGAGACAAACAACCAUUCACACUCACACACCCACGGGCAAUUUAGAGUCACCAAUCAACCUGAUCCCCAGAGCAUGUAUUUGGACUGUGGGAGGAACCCAGAGAACCCAGACAGAACCACGCAGACACGGGGAGAACAUGCAGACUCCACACAGAAAGGCCACUGGGCGGAGUGGAACCCAGGACCUUCUUGCUGCGAGGCGACGGUGCUAACCACCACACCACUGUGCCGCCCUAAAGCGGUUGGUGUUAUUGUCU